RNAcentral lists this ribosomal RNA (253 nucleotides) under uncultured bacterium. RNAcentral's name for it is "partial 16S ribosomal RNA". It matches the Rfam family "Bacterial small subunit ribosomal RNA", at positions 524 to 776 of the family's 1533-position model. The record is from RNAcentral.
UACAGAGGUCCCAAGCGUUGUUCGGAUUCACUGGGCGUAAAGGGUGCGUAGGCGGUCGGGUAAGUCUGAUGUGAGAUCUCCAAGCUCAACUUGGAAAUGGCAUCGGAUACUAUUCGGCUCGAGGAAUGGAGGGGAGACUGGAAUACUUGGUGUAGCAGUGAAAUGCGUAGAUAUCAAGUGGAACACCAGUGGCGAAGGCGAGUCUCUGGACAUUUCCUGACGCUGAGGCACGAAAGCCAGGGGAGCAAACGGG